RNAcentral lists this ribosomal RNA (1101 nucleotides) under Patescibacteria group bacterium. Its description in RNAcentral is "partial 23S ribosomal RNA". It matches the Rfam family "Bacterial large subunit ribosomal RNA", at positions 2565 to 2925 of the family's 2925-position model. The record is from RNAcentral.
CCAAGGGUUUGGCUGUUCGCCAAUUAAAGCGGCACGCGAGCUGGGUUCAGAACGUAAAUUACAUUGCGUUCUACGGUAGAAAUACCGUAUAAUAAAUGUGGCUUAUAUCGGUGAAACCCUACCUUUCCAACCGAACGGAAAAGAGGGUAAUACCGAGGGAAGAUUGAGAUUAUGUCAGAAAAACUUCUUGCGUAUAUUGCAGGUUUCUUGGAUGGUGACGGUUGUAUUAUGGCUCAAUUGGUCAAACGUCCCGGAUAUAUUUAUGGUUUUCAAAUCAGAGUAAGUAUUGUGUUUUAUCAGAAAACUAAUCAUAAGGAUUUUCUGAUUUGGCUCAAAACUAAAUUGAAAUCAGGUUAUAUCAGGGAUCGUAAUGACGGAAUGACAGAAUAUACAAUUGUCAGCCCAGAGUUGGUUCGGCAAGUACUUAUAAAACUUUUACCUCAUUUACGAUUAAAACGUGAGUUAGCAAAAAAAGUUUUAGUACUAUGCCAAAUCAUCUUAAUCAACAAGAAACAACAUAUUUCUCCCAAAGAGUUCUUAAAAAGAGCUCAAUUGGUGGAUGAAACUGUUAUAUACAAUUACUCAAAGAAACGUACAACAACUCGGGAAAGCGUUAAAGUUUUUCUUCAACAAAACAAUCUCAUUCCCCGUAACGACUGAUUCAAAUUGCUAAAGCAAGAGCAAUAAGAUGAAAUGGCUUCCGUCAACUGGCGGCCAUUACACGCCACCUCCUCCUUCAAUAGUUGUAUUGGAGAGGAUGAAGAUAUAGUCUGUGCCAUUAGUAAUAAUGGAAUAUCAUGCGUGAGACAGUUCGGUCUCUAUCUGCUGUGCAUGUAGGAAAUUUGAGAGGAGUCACUUCUAGUACGAGAGGACCGAAGUGAACAGACCGCUGGUGUACCAGUUGUUCUACCAAGAGCAUCGCUGGGUAGCUAUGUCCGGAAAGGAUAAGCGCUGAAAGCAUCUAAGUGCGAAGCCUCCCUCAAAAAAGAUUUCCCUUCGUAAGAAUAAGGACCCAAGUAGACUACUUGGUUGAUAGGCAACAGGUGUAAGUCCAGUAAUGGAUUCAGCCGAGUUGUACUAAUAGUCCGAUCACUUGACUUC